This is a long non-coding RNA of Ursus maritimus (polar bear), 1575 nucleotides long. NCBI's taxonomy places the organism in Eukaryota, Metazoa, Chordata, Mammalia, Carnivora, Ursidae. The record is from Ensembl.
GGCAGGUGCCCGGGGACUUUCCCGGGCGAGGAGGAACCACCUGGAGGAGCGUCUGAGGGCUGCCCGAGAGUCCCAGAGCGCAGAAAGGGCCCCUCAGGACAGGUCGGAGAGUGGGUGAAACGGGUGGUAGAGCUUACAGAUGGUAAAAAUGGCAGUUUACUGCAUGCCUGCGAACAUCACAUCACCAGCCCGUGUCUGCCCAGGAAGGCUCCUCUCUUUGCAGCUCCUGCCCGAGCUGUGCUCACUGGUGGUCACGGUGAUCUGCCUGUCCAGGGGAGGCUCCCAAUGGGAGCACACCAAGCCUUAUGUCCUCAACUACUUUGAAAACCCAGCAACACUGUCUCCUGUGGUUGUGGAAACUGCCUUCAGAAUGUCACAUCCCGACUCUCAACACCUGGGUCCUGAUAACUUUCGGCUCUGCCAGCGGCCCUGCUACCUGGACUGCAGAGAAACAUGAGCCCCCAGCCCAGGUUCCUGGCACACUGCAGGUGCUCCAAGAGCUUUGUGAAGGAGGAAGACGGACAAGGGACAAGCUGCCGACGAGUGAUCUCCCGAAGAUGGCUGCACCAUCUCCUGGGUGCCAGGACAGGAGAAGGCACACAUGUCAUCAUCUGGCUCCAGGAGGAAGGCCGCGGUCUGUCAGGACAGGGGUGCUGGGCUGGACAGGGGUGCUCGGCCAGAGUGGCCAUGCAGCCCGCUCCCUUCCAGCCACUUCCAGACCCACCAUCCGAUACAGGCGCCGAGGGAGCACACAGUUGUGGAAACAGAGUCUGCAAGGGCCCCUGCAGAGCACCUUCGUGUGUUCCCGUCACCCCUCAGAACAACUUCCGAGGGGGCUCUGUGAUGAUGGACAAGCCAGGACAGGGAAGCAGAGGUGCAGAGCAAGUCUACGCAGGCGGACGAGGGGCGGAGCGGGGAUUUGCCCGCAGGCAGUCUGACUUGGCCAUUUGCGGAUCUGGAUCUCUGCUCUGCCAAAUACACGCUGUCUACACUGGGUAAUUACUUGACCUCUCUAGGGCACACGGCUCUGUGAUAUCAAUGAUUGCAUGUUUACGGCACUUAGCACCUCAGAUGGCACAGAAACGCCGGGCACUGGCCAUCACUCUUCUGCCAGUUGGAAAUGAACUUCAGACGGUAGCUUCCGCUCGCGGACAGUGGCCACCUGCUCUCGUUCUCUGCUUCUUCCUCUGCCAUUCUCUGCUUCUUCCUCUGCCGCGGACCUGGGUACCCGCCCCUCCCGCUGCAGGGAACCCUGGCCUCUCCUGCAGGUGUACCCACCCCUGCACUCUCACACCAGGCAGGAGUGCGGCCGGCAAGGCUGGCCACUCCAUCCAGCUUGCUCACGGGCUCCAGCCCUGGCCCUAGAGACUUCCUGAGCAGAUCCACUCGAGUGCACACACCCCAGCCUGGCAGCCGGCUGCCACCCGGCAGGAUCCCCAGGCCUCAGAGGUGGGGAUAGGACCAGGUGACAAGGGGCAGGCUGGGACACUACUGGCAGCCGGGCUGGAGGGGCUGGAGGCUCCACCUCCCCCCUCCCGCCCCCUCCCCCUUCCCUUCCCCCUCAGCAGAUCACAG